Long non-coding RNA from Sphaeramia orbicularis (orbiculate cardinalfish), 205 nucleotides. RefSeq lists it as uncharacterized. The record is from RefSeq and is a predicted model, not a curated record. Lineage: Eukaryota; Metazoa; Chordata; Actinopteri; Kurtiformes; Apogonidae. The transcript has 3 exons.
AGUUGUUCAGGAAGUUACAACCCUUUCAUGCAUGACGUCCAUAUUUGUGGACACAAAGUUACGGCUCACUUUCCAAAGAGUUCUAAAGGCAAUAUUCUCCAAACCACAUGCGGUCAGUCUCUAUAGACCCUAAGCAACAGAAUGAACAAAAGGAUCAUUUUAGUUGUAGAAUGUGGACUGAUCUGUGAUCUCCUGAAGUUAACCU